Molecule: long non-coding RNA, 40201 nt
Filed under: Lactuca sativa (garden lettuce)
Lineage: Eukaryota; Viridiplantae; Streptophyta; Magnoliopsida; Asterales; Asteraceae
Description: long non-coding RNA (LSAT_LNC005393)
Source: RNAcentral
AUUAGAUACAUAUGAUUAUAUGUAUUUAAUCACAUAUGAUUGCAGUGGACAAAGAACAAUUAUUUAAUCGAGAUUGUGACAAUGAAUCUCAUCCACAUAAAUCAUAUAUGAUUGAAUACAUAUAAUAACAACUUUCGACUAAGUAAUUGCUUUUGUGUAAUUAAUCACAUGUGAUUAUAUGUAUAUAAUAAUAUAUGAUUUGAGGUGGACAAGAUGCAUUUUUUCCUUCUCGAUUCAAUAGCAAUGCUCAUGUACUUAAUCAAAUAUGAUUAUACCUAUAAUCACAUUUGAUAAAAUACAUGAGAACGACUAUUGAAUCAGCAAAGCAAAAAUGAGUUAUGUGAUUAGAUUCAUAUAAUCAAAUGUGAUUAUAUGUAUUUAAUCAUAUGUGAUUAGAUUCAUAUAAUCACAAAGAAAAAAUGAAUUAAAUCCUNAAAACCGGGUUUUAUCAUAAAACCAACAAUAACAACAUAUAACAUACCAAGUUUUAUCUUGUCAUAAAACCAAUAAUAGCAACAUACUUUAUAAAUUAACAUAUAGAACUUCCGAAUAUAACUUCAUAACUAUAUAUCUAUAUAUAUAUAUAUAUAUAUAUAUAUAUAUAUAUAUAUAUAAUCAUAUAUGAUUUCUAUGUUAUUAAAUACAUAUAAUCACAUGUGAUUAAAUACACGUGAAAAACUAGUGAAUUGAGAAUGCAAAAAUGAUUAUUGUCUACGUAAAUCACAUGUGAUUAUAUGUAUCCAAUCACAUAUGAUUUAUAUGAACGAUAUUCAUUUUUGAGUUUUCGUGUCAAUAAUUUUUCUCAUAUAUUUAAUCAUAUGUGAUUCUAAGUAUUUUAUCAUAUGAUUAUAAGUAUUUAAUUAUAUUUAAUCAUAUGUGAUUAGAUACAUAAAUCUUAUGUGAUUAGGUUCAUAUAAUCACAUUUGAUUUGAUCUAUUUAAUCAUAUAUGAGUAAUGUGGGUAUUUGUUUUCGCGUUCUUGAUUCAGUAUUUGUUAUCGUAUAUAUAAUCGCAUGAGAUUGUACAUAGCUAAUUACAUAUGAUUUAUAUAAAUAAGAUUCGUUUUUUUCCAAAUAAAAUCAUAUGUGAUUAGAAGCAUAUAAUCACAUCCGAUUAAAUGUAUUUAUUCACGUAUGAUUAAAUUGGAAAAAAAACAAUGAUUGAAUCAAGAACUUAAAUAUGAAUCUUGUUUAGAUAAAUCAUAUGUGAUUAGAUACAUAUAAUCAUAUGUGAUUAUAUGCACUUAAUCACAUAUGAUAUAUAUGGACAAUAUUUAUCUUUGGGUUCUCGAUUCAAUAGUUGUUCUUGUGUAUAUAAUCAUAUGUGAUUAUAUGUAUCAAAUUACAUAUGCUUUAUAUAGACGUCAUUAUUUUCUGUCCAUAUAAAUCAUAUGUGACUAGAUACAUAUAAUCACAUAUGAUUAUAUGUAUUUAAUCACAUAUGAUUAUAUGUAUUUAAUCACAUAUGAUUAUAGUGGACAAAGAACAAUUAUUGAAUCGAGAAUGUGACAAUGAAUCGCAACCAUAUAAAUCAUAUAUAACUGGAUACAUAUAAUCACAUGGGAUUAUAUGUAUUUAAUCAGAUAUGAUUUAUGUAAACAAUAUUUAUUUUUGCGGUUUUGACUGAAUAAUUACUUUUGUGUAAUUAAUCACAUGUGAUUAUAUGUAUAUAAUCACAUAUGAUUUGAGGUGGACAAGAUUCAUUUUUUCUUCUCGAUUCAAUAAUUGUGCUCAUGUACUUAAUCACAUACGAUUAUACAUUUAAUACAUGCGAUAAAAUACACGAGAACAACUAUUGAAUCAGAAAAGAAAAAAUGAAUUAUGUCCACAUAAAUCAUGUGAGAUUAUAUUCAUAUAAUCACAUCUGAUUAUUUGUAUUUAAUACAUAUGAUUAAUUUGGAUAAAGAUUUGUUUUCGCGUUCUUGGUUCAAUAUUUGUUAACGUGUAUAUAAUUAUAUGUGAUUGUAUGUAUCUAUUCACAUAUGAUGUAAAUAGAAAAUAUUCGUUUUUUCCAAAUAAAAUCGUAUAUGAUUAGAAACAUAUAAUCACAUCUAAUUAAAUGUAUUUAAUCACAUAUGAUUAAAGUGAAAAAAACAAUUAUUGAAUCGAGAACGUGUAAAAGAAUCUUAGCGACAUAAAUCGUAGUGAUUAGAUACACAUAAUCACAUGUUAUUAGGGUUCUGUGAACAAUAACAUACAACAAGUAAUUCUUACGUAAUAGGAGAGUUAGUGCUCACCUCCUUGAUCUUGAAAAUUAGCUAGCAUGAGCAAGAUGGAUCAUUUCCUUUCCAAGAACCUACACAAAAGUUAUAACAUUAUUUAUAUAGACAUCAUUAGUUUUUGUCUAUAUAAAUCCUAUGUGAUUAGAUACAUAUAAAUGAUUACAAUUGACAAAUAAUAGUUAUAGAAUCGAGAAUGGGAUAACCAAUCUUAUGCACAUAAAUUAUAUAUGAUUGGAUACAUAUAAUCAUAUGUGAUUAUAUGUAUUUAAUUAGAUAUGAUUUAUGUAGACAAUAUUUAUUUUUGCGGUUUCGAUUGAAUAAUUGUUUUUGUAUAUUUAAUCACCUCUGGUUAUAUGUAUAUAAUCAGAUAUGAUUUGAGGUGGACAAGAUUCAUUUUUGCCUUUUUGAUUCAAUAGUUGUGUUCAUGUACUUAAUCACAUACGAUUAUACAUAUAAUCAUAUGUGAUUAAAUACACAAGAACAAGAACUGAAUCGAGAACGCAAAAAUGAAUAUUUUGCACAUAAAUUCUAUGUGAUUAGAUACAUAUAAUCACAUGUGACUAUAUACAUUUAAUCAUAUAUGAUAUAUGUGGACUUUAUCUUUAUGUUCUCGAUUCUAUAGUUGUUCUCGUGUAUAUAUAAUCGUAUGUGAUUGUAAUUCAUAGGUAUUUAUAUACCCAUACGUAAGAGUCACAAAAUAAUACAAAAGAUGGUAAAAUAUAAUGUUUCUUAUAUAAUAAUAAUAAUAAUAAUAAUAAUAAUAAUAAUAAUAAUAAUAAUCGUUAUUAUUAAUAUGUCAUUAUAUAAGAAACAUUAUAUUUUAACAUCUUUUGUAUUAUUUUGUGACUCUUACGUAUUGGCAUAUAAAUACCUUUGAAUUUCUAUAUGGAAUGCAUGGGAAUCGAUAAAACUAACAAGGUUGAACUAAUAUAUCCUAAAGACUUGAAUAAUAUAAUCUUUAACACAUGUUUAAAUGUUACUCAAGUGUAAUAUAUUUAUCAUAUACAAAAACUAAUUUAAAAACACUACUCCAGAAGCACUAGACAAAAUAAUUGCCAUUAUUAAUGAUCUUUGAGCUAACCAAUACAAACUAAAUCUUUUUAUACUUAAAUUCUAAUUCCAUUUGUGCUUACAAUAAGAAGUAAAGGUAUGGAGAGAACAAAAAAGUUGAGAAGCAUAAAAGUUGAUCAAGUUUCUUCAAGCAAAGACUAUUAAUGUUGGGGAACCUUCCGACUGCAACUUUUUGUUCUUUUUCUGUUAUUGUUCAAAGUUCAUACCCCUCAAAAAUUACCAAGAGAAUCACCGCCACAAAAAUAGUUGACUUUUCCAUUUUUCUAAUUAUGGUUGUGAUUUUACAAAUGGUUUUGUAUAUGUGCAGAAUUUAAGGCUUAAAGAACCGAAACCAAAACAAUAAUUUAUAUUAAAAAAAUUAAAAGCACCAAAAUACAACUAACAACAGUAAAUGAGUAAAUAAAUUGAUGUAAUAGCUUUAGCCCAAAGAUUCGAGAUGAGAAAGAAAGAUUACAAUAAGUAGCCGAAUUGAUUGCAUUCCAAAUUGGCUACUAAUCCUGACUUGAAUCUUGUCGAUCGUUAUAGAUUUGAUUGUCUAGGGUUCCGAACUUUUACUUGAAGGAAGUUUUCCUUUUUAACAAAAUCAUAUUCCCCUAUAAUCAUAACUCCAUUUUUACAGCAUCUUCAAAAUAAAGUAUUUAUUCAUCUCGUUUAACUUUUGAAGUGUGUAUUGAAAUCAUUACCUGAAGAGAAGUAACCCAGCCGAUGAGUAAACAGGCGAGCCAUAAUUUCAAUAUAAACAAUACCGAUUCAUCUUGUUACAAACGAUCGAUUCAUCUUGUUACAAACGAUUGAGGGAGGUGGUUCAGAAGGCCAGUUCUGGUAGCAACAUUGGCAGAUCCGAUGGUGACGGUGGUGGCCGAUGAAACCUAAUCUAGCGGCUGGGAAGCUAGAUCGAGAAGAGUAGAGACAAAAGGAGGUGACUUCCGGCGAAAUGAGUACUAGAGGCGGAUGAAAGAGGCAGUAGUUUAGUGGUUCCGACGACGUCGGUACGGUGGUCCGAUAGUCUUUUGGUGGUGUAGCUUCAAAUGACGGGAGAACCCGUACAAUUGUGUUUGGAGGUUGGGGGUAGGGACUAGCAUGUAUGGCUUAGCUUUUCAUAUUCCAAAAGUCUUUUUUGAAAAAUAAAAAAAAAGCAAAAGAUAUUUGGCAAAAGUUACUUUUGGAGUUUUAUACAAGUAAAAUGAAUUUUUUGGAAAAGUCAGGAAAUUCUGAUUUUUCGUAACUUUUUCAAAAAUGACUUUUAGGCUGUGAAAAGCUAACCCAAACACCCCUAAGUGGAUAGUGGUUUUCAGUUAUAGUUUUAUUAAUAUAAAUAUUAUUUUAUGAUUUUAAUUGAAAAAUUAAAUGGUAGAUUUGUUCUCAAAUGUACUCAAUUUAAAAAAUGUUUUCAUUUGAACAUAUAUAUAUAUAUAUAUANAUAUGUAUAUAUAUAUAUAUAUAUAUAUAUAUAUGAUCAAAUGAGAAUACCUAAAAGGUUGAGAACGUAAGAACAGUUGUAGACCAAUCAUUUUUAGAGGGCAUAAAUGGAAUUUUACCAUCUAAUUAAAUUAUGAUUUCCUAAAUUUUAGUGAUUAUAAUGACACUUACAAAAAAUAUCUCAUUUUUUAGAUACUAUUCUUUUAAUGAACCAAUAAUUAAUAAAAUCAUGAGUUAAUUUCUAUCUAAAAAAACGUUUUUUUUUUUUCAUUUCAUUCAUUUUUAUGUUUCAUUUUUAGCAAUCAAAUAUCAAGAGAAUGAAUAAUUUAUAGGUUUACCUCAUUUAUUUUUUUUAAAUAUCUUCAUAAAUAAUGAUUUAUACAUUUCAUUUUAAAAUGAAUAAAAUUAUAAAUUAGAAAUGAAUUAACUCAGAUGUAUUUAUGAAUACACUUGUAAAAUCAUAAAUUAAUAAAACCCAAAAAAAAUGAUUAUAAAAUCAACUAAAAUGAUACACAUAUAUAGAUAAAUAAAACACAUUUCUAUUCAUAUAAGAAUAUAAUUAUAAUAGUAAAUGAAUAAGUUACAAUAUAUAUUUUUUUGAUACGGAAACUAAUACUACAAUUACAAUCAUAAAUGAAUAAAACAUAUUUGCGCUCCUUCCGAAAUCUAUUUGUGUCGGUGUUUCAUUUGGUAAAUCUCCCACCUCCCACUCUAUGCAUGUUUAUUCAAUGGAUCUGCAAAAAUGUUAAAGAAACAAUUAUGUAUAAUUAAAUAGUCAUUCACACAUAAAUACAUUGACAUUCACAAAUGAAUACACUCUAUUCAUAAAUAAAUACAAAAUAAAAAUAGUGUAAAAAUUGUCAUUUCUUAUUAUUCGUUCCCUGCCAAGAAUAACCACCAGGAUGGGGUUGUGUUCCCGGUGAAAUCAAAAGAGGCAACCGCCUCUUGGCUUUUUCCCCUCACCUGCAUUGUCGUGGCUGCUUUCCCUGCUCCUCUCGAACCAGCCUCAUGGAGUAUUCAUUGAUGAUUAACUGCAAAUGAGACAUCUGACAUUGUAUUCAUACAAGAUUACAAUUGAAUAUUUAUUGAUAGAUUCAUUGAUGAUUAACUGCAAAUGGAAGAUGUUAAUAUAACCAAUGGCUUGUGUAUUAACUAUUAACUAUGAAACAUGAAGGGUGUGUGACUUGUAACAACUUACUGAGUGUAAAAGAAAAGUACAUCGGGUCCAACAAUUAUCAGAUUAGCAAGAAGAAUUGCUCAUGACACCAAUUGUAACUAAAUAUGUAAACAAGCAGCCAAACAGGAUGGAUUAAUUUCAAAGAGGUCUUCCAAGUUUCAUCUUCAUACAAGAUCCCAAUUGGAGAAUGAACACAAAAUUGAAGCUAAUUCCCAUUGAGUUCCUAAUUGUUUUAACUUGUGAUAAUUACACCAAAUUUGAUACUCACAUAGUUUCAAAAAUUACAGAAAACAAAACCAACACUACGAUUUUUGGAGAUAAACUUAGCGUUUUUUAAUCAUACGUACAACCAUGUUUAUAAUCAUGAGUGAUUAUAAAGAAUACAGCUUACGAUGACCUGUCCGCCAUCAUCAAAAUUGAUUAAAAAUCGGAUGAAAUUGACUGAGUAAAGCAUAUGGGAAGGUAGAUAAUUGGUUUAUCAGAAAGUAUGAACAACUAGCAGUGACAAGAAAGCUCAAUCAAUAGGACUUACCCUCUUCUCUAGACACGGCUCAUGAGAUCGAAAAAAUCACCAGAUAACUUGAAAAAUCGCAGAUCUUCGUAGACUUGAGGUUGUUGUGUCAGUUUUGUCGCUAAUUACUAAAGCCAUUGUGGCCACCGGAGACUUGAGGUUGUGGUGUAGGUUUCAGUCGGAUUGUCGCCUUGCUGGAGGCAAGACCCAACUAUCCUUCCUCGUUAAUUUCAUUCACCUGCUUUCGACAUAGGAGGUGUAACAACUGAUAACCCUAGGAUGUUGAAAGGUUUGGUACUCACGAAUGGAAGAGACAUUGAAUUAUAGAGAUGGUUGGAUAUAGAAGCGUAGUCAGGGUUUUAUUGUGCGAGAUGGUGGCUAUCAUCGGCGAUCAUGGUGGCGAAGGCAGAGGCGAUGCUUUUUCAUUCUCCGAUUGUGAAAGUGGUUCUUGGAUGGCAGCAACGCAAGUGGAAAAUAAUGGAGUGAAUGAUAAAGUCGUAGGUUUAGGUAUAUAUAUAUAUAUAUAUAUAUAUAUAUANNNNNNNNNNNNNNNNNNNNNNNNNNNNNNNNNNNNNNNNNNNNNNNNNNNNNNNNNNNNNNNNNNNNNNNNNNNNNNNNNNNNNNNNNNNNNNNNNNNNNNNNNNNNNNNNNNNNNNNNNNNNNNNNNNNNNNNNNNNNNNNNNNNNNNNNNNNNNNNNNNNNNNNNNNNNNNNNNNNNNNNNNNNNNNNNNNNNNNNNNNNNNNNNNNNNNNNNNNNNNNNNNNNNNNNNNNNNNNNNNNNNNNNNNNNNNNNNNNNNNNNNNNNNNNNNNNNNNNNNNNNNNNNNNNNNNNNNNNNNNNNNNNNNNNNNNNNNNNNNNNNNNNNNNNNNNAUCUUACCAAUCUCAUUUAAUGUUUAAUUUUUUUGUGCUAUUUAACAUAUUAAUAUAAAUGUCUAAAAAUUUACAUCAUAAAUCAAAUUUUCAUAUUUUUUAAAAAAAAAAUAGUAUUUUUCGUUUUUUUUAAAUGCAAAUUUUUUAAUAUUUUAUAGAAAACAUGAAUUUUUAAAAAAAAAUGAUAAAAUAUUUUUUUAAAAUAACUGCAUUUUUUAAAAAAAACUGCAAUUUUUUUUAAGAAAACUGCAUUUUUUCCAAAACUAACUACAAAUUAAAAAAAAAANAAAAAAAAAAAAAAAAAAAAAAAAAAAAAAAAAAAAACUGCAUUUUUAAAUAAAAAAAACUACAAUUUUUUCAAAAAAACUAUAAGUUUUUUUAAAGAAAGUUACAUUUUUUUCAGAAAAAACUGUAUUUAACAAAAAAACUGCAUUUUUUUUAAAAGUAAUUUUUUAGGUGCAUAUGUGCAUAUUUUUUCAAAUGCACAUAUAUUCAUUUAUUAUACUAUAAUAUUCGUAAGUAAAUCACAACAAAUCUCAUAUUUAUUAAUUAAUCUGUAAACAUAAUAGUACAAAUAUUUUAUUCGAUAUAAAAUAAAAUAUAAAAAAUAAAAAAAUACUACAAAUUUCAAAGCGUUUUCAUGUCUUCGUGUGAAUAUUUCCAUAUUUUCUUCAAUUUAUCAUUUUCCAUGUCUUCAAUAUUCACCACAAUUUCUUCCAAAUCUACAAGAAAAUUAAAAAGAAAUCGAUUGAUGCAAAAAUAUUCACAAAAAUACAUAUCUGAUUUACAUGUGUAUCACAUGUGAAUUACAUGUGAAUCACAUGUAAUUCAUAUGUGAUUUACAUGUGAAUCACAAGUAAUUCAUAUGUGAUUUACAUGUGAAUCAUAUGUAAUUACAAUUCAUAUGUGACUUACAUGUGAAUCACGUACAAUUCAUAUGUGAUUUACAUGUGAAUCACAUGUAAUUAAUAUGUGAAUUACAUGUGAUUUACAUGUAAAUCACAUGUAAUUCAUAUGUGAAUUACAUGUGAUUUACAUGUGAAUCAUAUGUAAUUCAUAUGUGAUUUACAUGUGAAUCACAUGUAAUUUACAUAUGAAUUACAUGUGAUUUACAUCUGAAUCAAAUGUGAUUCAUAUGUGAAUUACAUGUGAUUUACAUGUGAAUCACAUGUAAUUCAUAUGUGAUUUACAUGUGAAUCACAUGUAAUUGCAACGUUAAACUUUUUAUAAAUUUAGUUAAGUAAAAAAGAAGCAACCAUAGUUGUCUUGAUUAUAACUGUUGAACUGAUUAUAAAACUGACCAAAUUUACAAAUCACAUCAUCUGCGAUAGAGCACCCACAAGCUGUGCAACUAGGUCUAGAAGGAGCCUCCUCAAAUUAGCCAACAAAGGAUAUUCAACCUGACUUACAACCCUGCAAUGAGAAAAUUUAUCAAAUAAACACAACACCACAUGACAUAAUUCCAAUUAUGCCACUUGAAAUCAAUGAGCAUAUCAACUAGAUAUCUUCAAGUUUCUGAAGAUAACGUGCCCUUACCUGUCAGCAUUGAUCAACCAAUCAAAUACAAAAUGUUCAAGCCCACUCCAUAGUUUUUCUGCAAUUACAAUAAGCAUAUCCUGUUUUAGAACAAAAUGACCUCAAUUACAGGGAUUAAGGGUAGACUAAUGAUGGAACAACCAAACCUUUUUCUGAAAUUCAACACUGAUUCCUUUAUCAUCUGCAUUAGCUAACUGAGCAGUCAAGAUGAAAUCUACAAGUUCGUUCACAGGAGCAUCUUCACCUAUUAAGAAUCACGAGAAGAAAAACAAAUUAGUAAAAUAUAUUUUGUAUGAUUUAAAAUAAAUACAAAUUACAAUACCAAGUUUUUUUUAUUGAAAACUCGACUUCCUCAAUACUGAAGUUCAUCAUUAGUAAGGAAGCCUUUUUGUCAUCAAUACCAUUGUAACCUUCAUCAAGAUCUUGCAUAGAAAGUAUUUUUAGCAGAUUGAUAACGAACUCUGAUGAAGAUAAAAGUCUAAAAAAUAUGUUAAACAUGAAAAAAAAAAUACAAAUGAAGGAUUAUAAGAGAGAAUGCUAACCAAAUUUCUUGACUGGCACAGAUGAAGCAUAAAAUGUCUAGCAAAAUUGCAGAAAAUAAUAGAGUUGUAUAAGUUCUCCUGAGACACUCUCUUCCAACUAAUCAACAUCUAUUUCAUCAGUUAAUAUUGUAUCAAUUUCAUAAGUGUUGGCCUUCAUUUGUAGAUUUAAAAUUCAAAAUAAAAUAUCAUAAAAUCAUUAUUCAUAUCAUGUUUUGCAACCCUUAAACAUAGCAAAAGCAAAAACAUAAGCAUCCUUGAUUUAUAGCUUUUACAAGGUUUGUAAACAGUUUGAUAAUCCGAUUACUAAUGGAUCAUAUACUUGAAAAUUAAGAGAAAAUUACGAUCUUAUUGAAAAAUUCGAAACAUUACCUUAGAAUUUAGAAUAGCACUGAGAACAGAACAAAGAGUUGCAACAGAUGCUUUGUAUCGGAGUCGAGCUUCAUUAAGAGCUCCAUUGAUUUUAUCGAAGAUAAUAUUUGAAAUAUCGAUUCUAUCGUAUCUUCCAAAUGUUUUUUCCCUUCCAUCGCCAACUCGUGUGUCGAUUUCUAACUUGUGAUGGUCGUGUUGCUAGUCUCGUCUAUUGAUUUCGAAUCUUAACACGAAAUUCAAAUUGUGGAUCAGAAAACAAUUGCAAACCCUAAUUUUUGCAAUUGACUGAAACUGGAAGAGGUGAGGCGAUGAUAGGAGGAGAGAGAUCUCUCAUCGUUGUGUUCUAUUUCAAUCUCUCAUCGAUGUUAUCCUGAUCGAAGGAAUCAUUGUCGCAAAAGCGUAAAGACGUGUGUAUGUGUGUGUGUGUGUUUGUGUGUGUGAGGGAGAAAGAGAAGUGGGGGAGAGACGAUGAAGAAGGCAACUAAUCGAUAUGGUGAUGAUUACCGGAGGCGGCCAUGGCUUUCAGAUGGUGACAUUGGAUUUCAUCAAACGAUCAGUGAUGAAGUUGACGUGAUGAAAGUGUAGGGAGAGGGACGAGAUGAAGAGAGAGAGAGAGUGAGAGAGAGAGAGAGAGAUAUAUACGGAGAGAUUCGACGUGAUUAAUCUGAUAAUGGGGUAUCAAUUACAGUUUCCCUAAAUGCCCUUGAUUUAUUUUAAUAAGAUGCCCAUGUCCCUUUUUAUUUUCAAGUAUUUACAAAAAUGCCAUAAAGCAUCCUAACCCUUUAUUAUUUUAAUCUAACGGUCAUUUAUGAGUUCUCGGAAAACUUUGAGUUCUCAAAUGAUCCUUGCUCUCUCUCUCUNGAGAUGUCAAAUCAUGAGGGACCGAAAUGCUUAUGGGAUGAAGAGAGAGAGAGAGAGAGAGAGAGAGAGAUGUAGGGAGAGAUUCGACGUGCUUAAUCUGAUAAUGGGGUAUCAAUUACAGUUUCCCUAAACGCCCUUGAUUUAUUUUAAUAAGCUGCCCAUGUCCCUUUUUAUUUUCAAGUAUUUACAAAAAUGCCAUAAAGCAUCCUAACCCUUUAUUAUUUUAAUCCAACUGUCAUUGUUUAGUUCUUGGGUUCUUGGGAAACUUUGAAUUCUCAAAUGAUCCUUGCUCUCUCUCUCUCUCUCUCUCUCUCUCUCUCUCUCUCUAUAUAUAUAUAUAUAUAUAUAUAUAACAACAAGAUAAACAUAACUAUAUUAAUUAUUAAUAAUCACCUACUUUCUAUUUUAUUAUGUCCAUUCACAAUCAAAUCAAAUCCAACACAACUAAUUAUUAAAAAACUAAUUCCUUUUUCUUCCAACUAUACAACACAAUUAAAUCCAUAUUUUCAUUCCUACUAACAACGAAACUAAAUAAUUUUUUAUUAAAUAAAUAUAAUUUAUAGUACUUUUAAAUUAAACAAAACUUAUUAAUUUUUUUUUCAAGACAACUAAUUUAUUUAUUUAAGAUAUAAAAAUAUUAAAAUAAACAUAAAAAUAUAUAACAUUCAUCAAACAUACUUAAUAAAUAAAAAAGAUGAAUCAAAUUACAAAUGUAACAUAAAAUAUAAAAUUACAGAUUUAAAAUAUACAAAAUACCGAAAAACAUAUUAUUCGUAGCUAUCUAAAUUUUCCGGUAUAUGCUCAAUCAAAUCGAUUUUACAAACGAUGUGAGCAUUUUUGUCACAAAGUUGUUCCCUAUUGGUCAUAUAACUAGAUAGGCUUGUAAUUCCUUUCGUAGAGUAUUCAAAAGAAUGUUCAUCAUCUUGAGUAGAGUUGCAUUAUUGUUGGUUUGGAGACAUGUCAUUUAGAAAUUCGGUUUGAUCAUAUUGGCGAAGGUAUGUAUCUCGUUCAUCCUCAACGAUGGUAUUAUUAGUACUGAUACAUGUAAUCAUAAUUUUCUCAACAAAAUCUUUGUCCCAUACUAGACAUCGGCGUCAAAGAAAUGCAAAAUGGGCUUAUAAAACUCCAAAUGCUAGUUCAACAUCUUUUCUAAUAGGCUAUUGACGUUCAACAAAAAACUUGUGUUUUCAGUUUUAUAGAGCAGUUAUUGACUUGGAAAAGGUAUCCCAUGAAGGAUAAAUAUCAUCUAUAAGAUAAUAUGCCAUAUUACUUUCUCGACCAUUUGCAACGUAACUCAUGUUUCGUGCUCAGCCUACCUAUACAUCACUAAAAUUAAGAGAGCGAUGGAGUAUAUUAAUGUCAUUGCACGGACCUGGUGUUCCGAAGAGUAUGUUCCAUAUCCAUAAGUCAUACGAUGCAACAACUUCCAAAAUGAUUUUUGUUUUACUGUUUCUAGCUGUAUCUUGCCCAACCCAAGAAAUGGGACAAUUUUUCCAUUCCAGUGCAUGCUAUAAAUGGUUCCUACCACACUAAGAAAUCCACGCUCUUCCCUGACAUAGAGUAGAGUUGCCUAAUCAUAUUGGUUAUGCCUUCUAAGUUAGUCUUCCCCAAGGCAUGAAAUAACACCUUUUAUGAAAUGUAUAAGAGCAUCUGGUGUUGCCGUUUCAUUCAUUCUCAAAUAUUCAUCAUGCACAUCUAAUGAUGUACUGUACACCAACACACUCAUAGCUCUAGUAAAAUUUUGUAAUUAUGAAAUACCUCUUCUAUUAGUAUUAUCGCGUUUUUGAUAAAAAUAUGUCAUUGGAUGUAAUAGUCGACACUAUUUGGAGGAACAAAGGUUUUCGCAUUUGAAAUUUGCGUCGGAAGAUUACUUCAUCAAAUGUUGAGUUGCCAACAAUGUAGUCUUCCAUUAUACGUGCCUUGCCCUUCUCACGUUGUCCAUCACGAUACCUCCUUCUUUUUCGAGUAGGAUGAUCUCCAAUGAGCAUAUUUAGCAUGCUUAUAAGUAAUUCAAUAAUGAUGUCAUCAAGUUCUCGAUUUCGCUGAGCAAUUUGUCUUGCCCAUUCAUCAUAGUCGAUCAAAUUAGAUGAUCCGGUGAGUUUUCAUUAUCUGAUAUCUCUAUAGAUGUAGGAAAUGAAGAGUAUGUGUUUGAUAUUAAAAGAUGUUCAUCUUACACUUCUUUAUACAAAAAGAAAGUAAAAUUUUUUGAAAUUUUCAACAAAGAUGACGAUAAGGUUUUUUUAUCUUUUGAAAUGUGUGUCAUAUACUAAGUGGACACCAUAUGGAAGAGUAGAGGUUUUUUAUGCAAUCAGUAUUUGAAUGUGUGCCAUAUGCUAAGUAAUAAUUAAUGGAACAUAAAUUGUUUUUGUCAUUUCCAUAGACAAAGGAUACAUUACUUUCUGAAAAAUAUAAAUAAAAACUAAUUAUAAACAAAUAUGUAAAACAGCAAAAUUACAUAAUUAAAUGUCUUAAAAAUUCGUGAAAUGCAAAAAUACAUAAAAUAUCUUACAAGUACAUAAAAUACAAAGUACAUAAUGAAAAAAUUACAAAUGAAUUAAAAUAUACUUAAAAUAUACGAUACACUGAAUUGCUUUUAGUUUCCAUAAUACUUUGCCAUUAGAAAACGUUUCAUGUUUUUUUCUUCAGACGGCAAGUGCUCUUUUUGUAAUAAUGUGUUCAGAAACACAAGUUACAUUUUCAUUAAAUCUCUACCAGGGAUUGUUUGCUCCCGUUGUUGAUCCAUGUCGAGUUUUUUUCAUGACUUGAACUUCAGUAUCUCUACUAAGCCUCAUUGUAACAAAAUUUUCAAUAAUUUCAUUAGAAACCUUAUAUUUUUACUUUUCUUUUAUCCACAUAUCUACAUGUUAGACGUUGCAUUGUUGUACUACCACUAUUUUGUGUAUCUGGUUUAGAGUAGUUCCCUUCUUUUGUAGUUCUUGAUCUUUUUGUGACGCUCUUACUUUCUUUAUUAUCCUCCUCAUAACGUGUUGUGCCAUGAUCUUUCAGUAAUGUCCACUUCAAAAUUUUAAAAAUAACUUCAUUAAAAACAACAAUGUCAUUAAACUUGACGUUCCCAUUUUCCUCAUAAUGUUUAUGAGCUUCAUUCUCAAUAUAUUUCAUGUACAUUCCAAUUUUUUUCGAUGAUAUGCUUCCUGUUAGGCACCAUCCUAGUUUUGGGCAUUUUUGAUAAGUCGUUUAGAAUGACCUCUCUUUUGAUAUUCCUUUCUGUUACCAAUGUUUCUUAUCUAGAAUCUACCUGAGCUUCAACAUAUAGUUACCUUACUUGUGCCCAUACUGAUACAUUUUCCGGUUUUUUCGAUAAGUCUUAUUUUGACUAGCAAUACACCUUGCUGAUGUUAAAGUGGUAUCUUCAGCAACAUCCAAUUUAUUUCUACAUGGUUGUUUUUCAAUGUUUUUGAGGUUUGAAGAUUUUUAGUGACUUGAUUGGUAUUUGAAAAGAACUAAGAGUUUUUGUAGUAUUUAGGUGUUUAGAUGCUGUAUAGUGUAACACCCCAAAUUAAAAAAAAAAAAAAAAAACUUUUAAACAACACAAAUUAUUCAUUAAACAUGAAUCAUAAGGAUAAAUUGAAAAUUUAUUACCUAAGAUUAAUUUAAACACUAAAACCAUCCAUAAUUUAUGAAAACACAAGAACUCAAAAUUUUCAAAACCAACAUUCCACAUCGAGCCAAUGUAUACAAUCACGCCCGACCUUUCUAUGUACGUGAAAUAUUAUUUUAAAGGAAAAAAGGGGUAAGUACAAAUUUUAGUGAAUUGCAUGUACGCAUACAUAAUAUCAUAUCAUAUCAACCUUACCCAUAUACACAUAUACAAACGGUAUCAACACAUAACCACACAUGCAUGUUAAAGAACAAAUCAGUAACAAACAUACUCCUAUAUAUAUGCCACAUUAACAAGGCACGAUACCCCUUGUUGUGCACGAGCCUGUGGGACACAUUAGCUAAGACCAAUCCUCCAUACUCGAAUCCACUGGGACACAUUGGCCAUGCCCGAUCCCCUUACUCUAUACGUCGGACCUUUAGGACACAUUGGCUACGCCCGGUACCCACUCGAAUGUGUCGGGUCUUAUCAUGUACAGUUCUCAAUACGUGUGGCUAACCACUAUACUCUACCCAACCUAGUGCUACCCUUUUAAACAAUUCAUACAUAUCACACACGAGUUAUUGUAAAGAAGAUAUGACUCAACAAGAUGUAGUGAGGAACUCACCUCCACUAUCAAAGCAAUCUUCAAAGUAGUCCGGGAAUCACUCACAUAUGAUCACCCUUUAAACCACCUAAUAAUAACAAUUUAAGUUAAUUUUAGUCACUCAUCUAACUUAAAAAUGUAAAUAUGCCAAUGCGGUAAAUUUCUAGAUUUUUACAUUAAAAUUAUGGUCUGUUUGGGACCUAUUUUUCCCUCCUUAUACCCAAUAUUUUACAAAACGGUACAUCAUGAAUGUAUUUCAUGUGAAUGCAUUUUUAGGGACUACUUACACAUGUCCAUAUGAUUUCUGUACAAUUUAUGGCGAAUUUUACAAAAUUAUCUCGCAUAGCAGCUUAUUUGGGACCACUCUAGGUAAAUGGUCAUUUUCACCCUAGUUAGAGCCAUUUUUGGCUUCCCGUCUAAAUAAAGAAAAUGGAGUAGACUAAUAUACGAAACUUUAGGAAUUGGCGUCGACCCAAAUUGAUGUCCCUUGAUUUUUCUACCAUUUUUACAAGUGAAGGAUAAAUUAGUAAAUUUCCAAUAUUUCCAACAUUGUCUAUUUUAUGGUUAAUUAGCUUCUUAACCCAUUAAGACAUAAUACAAAGUGGCUUAUUUUCUGUAAACAACUCAUUAACGGACGUGACAGCCCAUUGAGUGAAAAAGCCAUUAAAAAUUUCAAUUCCAUAGUCUAAGUACAUUGCUUUAAGGAGAGGACAAAGUACAUUGCUAGAAUGGUAAAAACAUGAACUAGGAUUUCUUUUCUUGCAUCCACACAAUACCUAAUCCAUGAAAGAAUAGAAUAGUAACCUAAAAAUAGUUACCACCCACUGCCAUCAUGGCAUGGUGGUCAGUGGCGGAAGCCACCACCUCAUAGUGGUCGUUCUAGGGUAGACGUACCGAAAAGAAAAAGAAAUAAAGGUGAUAAUUGGAGAGACUUACUUGAAACAAAGCUCUACCCAAUCCAUAUUACCUUCUCCUCCCCUUUUCAGCAAAAAACAACUUUUGAACUCCAUCCCUUUCUCGAUCCAACUCCCUCUAUGUCUUUAUUUCUUCCUCUAGGCCUCCCCCAACACACAUGUACAUAAAAUACCCCCGAGAGAUCGACCUUAACCUGGGAAAAUAGAGGUUAGCCUAGGUUUGCAAAGGAAGGGGUUGAACCUAAGCUUAUUUCCCAUAAAAAAAAAGCUUCAAAUUCGCAUUUUUCAGUUUAACCCCUAAUGCUUGCCAUAAUGACAAAACAACCCCCUUUUGACCAAACCUUGAAAUUUUAGGUGUCCUAACUUGUCACUUUCAGCCCAUUUUUCCUAAAAUUAACUACCAAACCCUAUAAUACACAAAUCUUAAUUAUUUUUAAUUAAUAAUCAUCUUAUUUAUUUCUGUUUUUAGUAUUUAUUUUUAAAAUACAAUUAUAAUAAAUCAACGAGAAACAGGACGUUACAACUCUCCCCCACUCGAUUCAGACUUCAUCCCUGAAGUCACAGUUAGUGAACAACUCUUGUUAAUUUUGUUGCAUCUUCGACUUCGUCUUCCAUGCCCUUACCAAACCUUUUUGAUGCUACAACUAGAGUUUGGUAAUUCCAAUCACCUUAUGGCGCAAGGUCUUUUUUUUAACAAUAAUAGCAAUCAACUUCCUUGAAUGAUUGAGUCGUUCAUCAAUCUAAAUCUAUUGAAAGGAAACCACCGUUGUUUCUUUCCCCAGACACUUUUGAAGCUAAGAGCCAUGGAAAGUGUUGUGAAUCAAACUCAACUUAUAUGGUAGUUCUAAUAGAUAUGAUACCUUCCUCACUCGAACAAUAACUUGUAUAGACAUAUGCACUAAGGCCCUAAGCUUCUUCUCUUAUGAAACCGAAACACUCAUUUCAAUGGCACAGAUCAUAUACUGACCCUAUACGGUAACCAACUGCUCCUGUACCAUUUAAACCAACUUGUUUAUAAUGAGCAGGAUUAUCUGUAAUCCCCAACAUUCGAUGCCAAAACUCGCCCCAACAUGUGGACGUCUGUAAACCCCAUAAAAUUCAAGCUAAUUUAAAACACUUUAACCCAUUCAAAAACCAUUAAGUUAUACAAAUUGUUUUCAAAAUAGUUUAAACAUCAGAGUAUCCCCAGAACCAAAUCACAAAAUCAUGAAAUACGAGGAGCGGUACGAUCACACCUUUGCCUUGCCACAAUCUCCUGAUGUUCCUGAAACAAUAAACUGAAACUAUAAGCCCAAAAGCUUAGUGGGUUUCCCCCAAAAUACCAACCACAUACAACCACAAUCAUAUCAUAUCACAAUACAGAACAACCAAUGCCUCUCAAGUCUGCAGUGUGACUGGUCUGCCCUCAACAGGCCUUCAGUCCACCUGGCCACUCUUUGAGUCCACAGUAUGACUGGACCGCCCGCACCGGGCUUUCAGUCUAUUUGGAUCUAUCCCGAGCCUUCGGUAUGACUGGAUCGCCAUACGACCUUACAAUCUAUCUGGACCGCUCGUAGGGUAUGUUGGCCUUCAGCACAAAGCAGGACCGCCUCAACCCAAACAUCAAGAAAAUAACCAUGUGCACAUAUAACAGGAUACCAGCCUAACCGGUCACUAACAUAGCAUCAUCUUAUAUACCAGGAUACCAACCUAAACUAGGUCACUAACAUAAUAUUGUCCUAAUUACCAGGACGUUGAUCUAAUCAGAUCAAUAAGCACAUCAAACAGUACACAUACAUAUAUCAUAUAUAACUAUCUCACAGAUCAUCGAUCAUAGUAAUCUCUCAUAACCAAAACACCAACCUAACCAGGUCACUAAUAUACCAAUCCUAACGGAUCAUAAGAGCAUGACAACAUAUUGUCUAUCCGGACACCGAUCUAACAUAUCAUAACCACAUGUAGCACACUGUAACCAAGAUAACAACUAAAAGGGCCGGCCUUGGUGCCUUAGACCCUAUUGAUAUAGUGAGGAUAACUCACCUUGCAAUUGCCGAACCGAACCAUGAAAGCACUGGCCCGAAGCACUGCUCCAAACUCCAACACCUAAUGUCAUCAAUGGACCAUGACAUAAAUAUCCAAAAUACUUAACACCACUGAAGGUCAAACAGGUCAAAUUCAAAGUCCUUGCCAAAGUCAACCUUCCUGAUUGACGCUACUCGCCAACUCAACCCGUCGACUCGUCAAGUUCUUAUACUCAGAAAACUCCGAUAACACGACUUAACUCGCUGAGUCGCCCCACGACUCGUUGAGUUGAACGAUCUCUGAAUUCCAUCAUGUCCAACUCACUGAGUCGCCAACCGACUCACUGGUCCGAAGUUUAACCACAAGAGGUUGGGGUUCUAUGACCUGAAUCGUCGAGUCCAAGAAUAGACUCGCUGAGUCCAAGGUAAUCUUCAACAGACUCGCUGAGUUAUUCUUCAAACUCGUUGAGUCCAUGCCGAUCUUCAUAUGACUCACCGAGUCCACCCAUGCGACUCGUCGAGUCCCUUCAGUCCUUCAUCCAUACAGAGGCUUUUCGAGCCAUGCAGGGUUACCAAACUGUAGAUCCACUCUUCUAGGGCAUAACCCCUACAUAAAGUUGCAAACUUUACCUGAAACCAAGGAGUUAAAGGUCCAAAUCACUCUAGGGCUAGGGUUUUAGACAAAGGGGCUUCACCAACAACUCAUUGACUGAGGGCUUAGGUUUUAGACAAAGGGGCUUCACCAACAACUCAUUGACUGAUGCUUUAUGGCAUUCUGGACCAACACAAGUCUAGAUCUGAAGUAGCAACCUCAGAUCUAAACUCCAAACCCGAAAUAGGUCUCAAACAUACCCAAAAUGGCCCCAAAUCUUUUUCAUGAAUAGAUCUAGAUGCAAAAGAGUGAAGGUAACAGCUUAUUACCUCCAAGAUGUGCCCAAACUGACGUAGAUUUUGGAUCUCCACCACUCCCUUGAUGCAAGCCCUUUUUGAUCUUCAAGAUUCUUCCACAAAAGACAACUUCCAAAGCUUGAAUCUCCCUCCAAAGGCCUCGCACACACGAGCUUAGGGUCUUCUGGUUCUCAAGGGAAAUAAGGAGGCUGAGAGAAGGACAUAAGGACCUUUAAAUAGGGUGGUUCGCGAUUAGGGUUUUCUCAUUCAGCACCAACUCGUCGAGUACAGCUUCCGACUCGGCGAGUUGGCUACUUAACUCGCGAUCAAAUCCCGCUCCGACUCGACGAGUAGCAUAUCUACUCGUCGAGUAGCUUCUUUAAUUCACACUUUAAGCCCUUCACUCAUACUUCUAGAAUUUGGGAUGUUAUAACUCUUCCCCACUUAAAUUAGGCUUCGCCCUCGAAGCCUACUAUAGUAUACGAUACUGAAUAAACCUAUUGCACUACAGACUCCGAUUUUCCAACCAACUCAGGUCUUUCUAGACCCUACCACUGCACCCCCUUUAGAAUUCCUUCUUCUUGUGUGGCAUCCUUGCCAAUUAUUCUAGGCCGAUCAUCAGCCUUCUUUUCCCCAAUGACAGCACAUAGCAACUAUGUAUCACCUGAUGAUACUACUAUAUUCCCGUCUUACACAUUCAUUCGCAUCUUGCGAAAACUGGAUACCUUUAUAAACCACCGGGACCUAACCCAGUACAAAUUUGCUAUCCUUUGCCCAACAGGCGCAACUUCUAUCAAAUUGCACUGUUGGGAACUCAUCCUGCUUCCUUCCUAAAUCCAAUCCCUUUCUAUGCUGACAUGAUAAUGCAUUUUCAGCUUCCGAGCAACUCUCAUGAACACCCAUCUAUAACGCAUAUACACAUCGUACCUGGCCCAAACAGCCUCAUGCUGGAAGACCAGGCACGCCUACGAUGGGUCCAACCAUCCCUAGAAUGGAACACCAACACAUACAUAACUCAUGACUACACCCCUAAUUGGACCCCAAGGGUCUACCCUUGCAUCACUUCCAAACCUUCUACUUCGACAUUAGAGCUAACCAUUCCACAACCUCACGAACAUCAAACCCGGAUGUGUUUCCAUACAACUGGUACAAUCUCAGUGCUCAUUAUCAAAAACUGAAAUACUUUUGAUCAUCAUUUACACUACUGCUUUCCCUUCCGAUAACCAAUACUCCUUCACGGAGCUACAUACCUUUCCCUUCCAUUCUUUCAGGAAGUCUACUCAACAACCUUUACCACAUCCAUAAGUGCCAUGGUGCUAAAACUCCACUCUACAUUACCCAAGUAGAGCAACUGCUAUUCUCUAACUCACAUAUACUCCGAAUCCGAUCACAUAACUAACAAACCCAUGCACAGCCUUUAGCUAACUCCAUCAUCAUGAUCAAUACUUGGGGCCAAACCUUAUCGAUUGCUAUGUCAUGGCGACAUACUCACUCAUUCUCUGCAUACAAGUCUACUUAACACACACAGGGUCUUCAGCAUGACUGGACCGCCUUACCAGGCCUUCAGCUUAUCUGGACCACCCUCAGAACCUUCAACAUGUCUGGACCGCCCUUCUGGGCCUUUAGACUGUCUGGAUCGUUCUUCAAGCCUUCGGCCUGACUGGUACGCCCACCGACCUUCAGUCUAUCUAGACCACUCAAAAUUUUCGUACAUCACCUUGAACCAUUCUUUCUAGGAAUCUCUCCCAUGCUUACUGUUCUCGCCCUCUUAGGGUUCCGAACACCAGCUCCAUUCCAUAUACUCACAUUCCGGCCAAACCCUAGGCCUCACAACAAUUAAUCACUUUCUCUAAAAACCAUGGUCUGUUCCCUACCCCACGUGUCUAUCACCACAUUCUCGGCUAAAACACCAUUGGAUCCAACAUUUUAAUUAAAAAACCCAUUCGGAUCCACUCUCUGUCCUCAACUAGAGUAUUACCCGAUCCAAGAAGAUGAAACCUCAGAGACACUCCGAACUGAUGAGAUCACCAAGAUCCUUUGAACUCCUUCCGACCACUAAUAACAACUUCCAAUCAACCAAGAUACACCAGAGUCCUCAGCCUACUCUAGCAACAUACUCAAUACGUGGAACAGACCUAUUGAGUGCUAAAGAGUAGCAGCCUACUCAAUACUCGAACAUAGAUCUACAAACAUUAACAGAGUCUUCAGCAUGAUUGGACUGCCCUACCAAGCCUUCAGUCGAUCGUCCACCUUCUCAGAAAUCCGAUGUCUGUUCCCUGGCCUGUGUUUCUACCAUACACGCUAAAUAACCCGCACUCCAGUGCUGAAUGCACUGUUGAGCCCUGGCAUCUAACAAAACCCUCAAUCUAUCAAUCCAAAACCUUCAGAGUCGAGCACACCCUCGACCGAAAAAUCGAACUGAACUUAAUUCUUGACUAGGACCCCAACCUGGUUCCCCAACUUCUGCUAUCAAGCAUCCAGAAGAUGACGUGUUCUUAUGCUCGGGAGCUUUUCCGAACCCCCAAUCAACAUAACCCUCAAACUAAGCAGCCAAUAGGGCCUCCAUUCUCCCUGUCGGUUGUGAAACUUAUCCCCAUCUCAAAACGUUUCCCACUUCAGCAUCUCAGGGUGACACUCCCCCACUUAGAUUCAACUAAUCCUUCAUAAUACAUGAAAAUUGGAGGAUUCUCAAUCCUCCUCACUUCCCAACAAUUUAUCCGAUGACAACCAACUCGUUCCCACUAGUGUUCCAUUGCUAGCUGGACCCAACUCAUCACACACUUCUAAGAACCAAAUGAUCACUUCCUGAAUCCCAGUGAAACCGACAGCCACUAAUGCGUGAAUGACUCCACACUCGCGUCCUGAAGACCACCAGAUAGAUGCUCCAACUAAUACCUUGGCAACGAAUUACUUCUCUUGGCGCUUUAGUCCGUCAAUCACUAACGGUUGCUAACCACUGAAUAUUGACAAUGAUGAAUAACGCUUUUGUGGGACCCCAUCCGCAGGCCUCCCGCAUAAAACCCCUUUUCCAAAGGUGUUCCAAACAAGCUUCCCUCUCUCGGGCUUUAGAAAUCAUUCUCUUCAGGGUUCACACCCUGACUCACUCACCAAUUGAAACGCCCACAGCUGAAUGGCAAUAGCUGAAACAACCUCUACCCUAAAUCGGGCUACAAACCACCCCCAAGAUACAAUCUACAGUCCCAAAAGUGCAAUAGAUCGCAAAAUCAAUCCUUUCCAUCCGAUACAAGAGAUCCAAGGAAAACCGGACCUCACAAACACUUAUCCACGCCGACCGUCUUGAGCUCACCAGCGCUGAAAUAAUGUUGCCUAUUCCUGAAACCAACUGACCCCGAGCUGGAAUACACCUGAUCCUGGGGUCACAAGCCUGCUCACUCCUUCAAGCUCGGAAACUGAGAGAGCGCAAUCCUUGCCCUACAUCAACUAAUUAUUUCACUUCCAGCUGCAAAACCCUAGCUGAACACAUUCAUCACUCCUUUUCGGAGUUCCCACGACCCAUAUCCCGGCCUCAAGCAAAUCCCCGAGUCUCAAAUCUAAAACUUUCAUGCUAACCUCUCCUGCUCCACUCGCAGAAUAUAAUGAGUACCGAUCAUAUUCCUGAUCCUAAAUAACUGCAACACUCUGCUCAUCAGAAUAUGUCCCAGAACUAAGAAGCUCGACCAGCUCCUCCCCUUGUCGUUGUUACAGCUGCCAAAGCUGCCGUGGAAACUGUCUCAGCAAUGUCUGCAUGACGCUCGACAAAAUACUCAACCAUGGCGGUCUUGAAAGACCCAAUCAUCUUCGGAAUUUAUCCUCGAACAAUCUCGAUUGUCUCCUCUCAGAGGAUCUCUGUCACACCCCGCUAAAGCGGAAACGCAAGGUAUGACAGCGAUAACGGUUUCAUUGCAAAAGAUAAAGAUACAUCACCAUAGCAGUAUUUAAAAGUUUACAACCCAUAGCUUAAAAGAAACAAAGUACAAGUUUUUCCAAAACAACAUUAAUCAAAAUAUAACUUCAUAAUAGCUUCAACACGAUGCAGCAUGCUCUAUGAUGAUGAAUCUUUACAUUCACUUACUAAUGAUUUCCUAAAAAAGCAUGUAAAACGAGCGUCAACUAUGAAAAUAGUUGGUGAGUUCACAAGUUUAUAAAAUCGAGCUUGAAAUAAGGCUUUUCGUAAAUACAAGUACAUUGCUUUAAUGAUAAACAUAGUUGAUUGCUAUUAAUGAAUACAAGUUUAUUGCUAUAACGAGAAACGAGUUUGUAUGUGUAUGAGCAAACAAUGAGUCUCAACCAAACCUAUGACUGAAGCCCUAUCGAGAUCUAUGCUUAUCGUUCCAUAGAUGAAUAUGGUAUCAUGCACUCCAGCGAUUCGGGCGAGUGAGGAGUUGUCAAUUCCUAAUAGCGCUAUCCAUAAUGACCAUUGGCUCAAAGAGUUAAUGGUUAGAGAUAAGGGAAGGGCCUUAGUACGAUAAGUUCUCAUGUUCCGUGUUGCAUAGACAUACAUAAAGAAACAUAGCAAUACAAUAGCAAUCAUGUUUGAUACAAAUCAAUUUAAAUACAACAUGCAAAUAAUAGUUUUUCUGGACAUGCUUUUCCACCCCAAAACAUAAAAACUGAAAAUAGGGGAGUACGUGAAUACUCACGAUGUUUUGUGUAGGCACAAGCGGUACUUCGGGAUGCACCAACGUCUUACUACCGGGAUCCUACGACAUCAAACACACGCACUAGUGAGUUUCCAUGUCGAUAUCUAAUGCUAAUAUACUAAACUCUACAUAUAGGGAAAUGCCAAUUUAUGUUUUAGUAUUGGAUUUUAUAUCAAUUAGUUACACUUUUUCUGAAGUAAUGAAAUUCUAUAUAUCGGGCGAUUAAUUACAACCUUGGAAUAUAAACUUUCCAAAUUUUUAAGUCCUUAUUACAACAUAAAUUCACGAAAAUAGCAUUCAAAGGAUAAAAAUUCUCAAACUUUUUAUUUAACUGUUAUUACACAAUACUAAGCUGGGAGUUAUAAAANAGCUGAUUAAUUAUAUUUUAUGAUUUUUGAGCAUUUAUUUCAAUAAAAAUUGAAAUAAAUAGAAAACAGUUUCCAAAAUUACCCAAACUUUUUAAUUAACUGUUAUUGUACAUAAAUAGGCUGGGAAAAAUAUAAAAGAUAUUUGUCAGUGGGUAUUUCUAUUUUUCCUUGUUUUAUUCCUUUAAAUAAUCAUAAAUUAAAGAAAUAAUAUUAAACAGUUAAAAUAAAUCACCAUAAAUUUUUGUAACAUCAUUUACAGUGUAAAUAACCUGGGAAAAAUAUCAAAAGUGGUUUUCAUAAUGCAUAAACGGGUUUUGGGUAUUUAUGUGUAUUUAAGUGCAUUUUAAUGCAAUUAAUUUUAGAAAAUAAGAGAAAAAUAGUUUACAGUAGAGAAAAAUAUUCAAAAUUUUUAUGUAACCUCCUACUGUAUAAUAUUAUAUCCUGGUAAAUUUUCAUGAAUAUUGGAUAAUCAGAACUAUUUCUCCCAUUUUUAGACCAUUAUAAUUACCAAAAAUAGUAAGACAUGAUGAAAAAGCUUGAAAUUGUUUUCUGGAGUCACCCAUCACAGGUAAGGUAUGAGAAAAUUGUUAGAUAAAAUUUUCAUAUCUUCUAUGGUGGUUUUUGAAUUUAUCAUGUCCUAAACAAAAGAAAAUUAGAAAUCGUAUUAAACUGUAACAAAAAUUACUGAAAUUUGGUGAGGGGUCAUUAUUCCCCAUGAGUAUCAUCCAUGAAUUUAUUUAGAAUUUAUUGACCUCUGGAAGUAUUUUAUAUGAUUUAUGCCCUUGGUUUUAGCAAUAACUCUAAUAAAUCAAAGAAAUAACAAAAGCUCUUGAAAUUUCCCAGAUUAUCUCAUGCAUGCAAGGGCUUUCAAAAGGUAAAAUGUAAAAAAAAAUGUAUUCAGAAGAGAAAUGAGGGUAAUGAUUCCAAACAAUUUAAGAAAAGUUGCAUGCAAUAAUGCAUGAAGUGUAAAUGUGGCUGAAAUUCAUGAAUUUGUGUAGCCCAUUCAGUGAGGUUUUAAGCCACGAAAUUUCAACCAUCAUUCACUAGAUAUGUUAAGUUUCUAAGGUAUUUUUCCUCAGAUUUAUGGUUGGGUUUAAGGCCAUUGAUUAUGCAAGACAAAAAUAGUGAUCACAGAAAAAGAGCUGUAUGCGCAAUCUUUUUGUAAAAAUUGCCAAAAAUCGGAUAUUUAAUAUUUUACAGUAAGACCAGUUGGGUUUGAAAGUUAACUCGUGGAACGAACCAAUACAAAAAGAAUAUCAUGAUUUGGUUAAGAAAUGACUGAGUUAUGACCGUUCAAAGUCGAACAAAGUAAUCUGGCAGAUUGCAUGUUUGCUUGUGUGCAUUAUUAGGGUAUUUCAACAAGAACAUCAUGCAUGUCCUUGGUAAGGCCCGAUUUCUAACACAUGCAUGGAAUGAAUGAGCAUCCAAGAUGUACUAGAAAUGGUUUAAAUGCUUUUGGUCAUGCAUGAACACAAAAGAAAUGGAGAAGAACAUGAAAUAUUAGGUUUUGAUGUCACAUGAUCAUAUGUGCAUCUUUUUCACUCCUUGCAUGGGUUUGAUCCCGGAUUUUCACCAUCUCUAACACAUGCAUUGUGUUAUGGUGAGAAUCUACAAACCACAAGGGGAGAAUAAAGAUUUCUAGCCAUGGAAAGGCAUAGAAUCCGAAAAGUAGAGAAGACUAAGAAGAAAAAGAGGUUUAACCAUGAAACUAUGGAAGAAGAUGUUGUUGUUUACCUUGGUUUUGACCUUGAGAGAAGUAAGAACACUUCAAGGGCUUCACAAUCUCGAAAUUUUGCAGAGAAAUGAGAGGAUUUUCGUGAGUUUAGAGAGAGGGAAGAAGAGAGUGAAGUGUGUGAAGAGAGUGAAGUGAGAGAGUGAAGAGGGAAGAGGUGGAGUAAGGGUUUAAGCUUAAUGAUUGUGUUUUGGGGAAGAGAGAGGGCAUGGGGAGAGGUGAUGGCCGGUUUUUGCAUGCAUUUUGGCCUCCUCUCUCCUAAAUUUUAAACUUUAUAAANNNNNNNNNNNNNNNNNNNNNNNNNNNNNNNNNNNNNNNNNNNNNNNNNNNNNNNNNNNNNNNNNNNNNNNNNNNNNNNNNNNNNNNNNNNNNNNNNNNNNNNNNNNNNNNNNNNNNNNNNNNNNNNNNNNNNNNNNNNNNNNNNNNNNNNNNNNNNNNNNNNNNNNNNNNNNNNNNNNNNNNNNNNNNNNNNNNNNNNNNNNNNNNNNNNNNNNNNNNNNNNNNNNNNNNNNNNNNNNNNNNNNNNNNNNNNNNNNNNNNNNNNNNNNNNNNNNNNNNNNNNNNNNNNNNNNNNNNNNNNNNNNNNNNNNNNNNNNNNNNNNNNNNNNNNNNNNNNNNNNNNNNNNNNNNNNNNNNNNNNNNNNNNNNNNNNNNNNNNNNNNNNNNNNNNNNNNNNNNNNNNNNNNNNNNNNNNNNNNNNNNNNNNNNNNNNNNNNNNNNNNNNNNNNNNNNNNNNNNNNNNNNNNNNNNNNNNNNNNNNNNNNNNNNNNNNNNNNNNNNNNNNNNNNNNNNNNNNNNNNNNNNNNNNNNNNNNNNNNNNNNNNNNNNNNNNNNNNNNNNNNNNNNNNNNNNNNNNNNNNNNNNNNNNNNNNNNNNNNNNNNNNNNNNNNNNNNNNNNNNNNNNNNNNNNNNNNNNNNNNNNNNNNNNNNNNNNNNNNNNNNNNNNNNNNNNNNNNNNNNNNNNNNNNNNNNNNNNNNNNNNNNNNNNNNNNNNNNNNNNNNNNNNNNNNNNNNNNNNNNNNNNNNNNNNNNNNNNNNNNNNNNNNNNNNNNNNNNNNNNNNNNNNNNNNNNNNNNNNNNNNNNNNNNNNNNNNNNNNNNNNNNNNNNNNNNNNNNNNNNNNNNNNNNNNNNNNNNNNNNNNNNNNNNNNNNNNNNNNNNNNNNNNNNNNNNNNNNNNNNNNNNNNNNNNNNNNNNNNNNNNNNNNNNNNNNNNNNNNNNNNNNNNNNNNNNNNNNNNNNNNNNNNNNNNNNNNNNNNNNNNNNNNNNNNNNNNNNNNNNNNNNNNNNNNNNNNNNNNNNNNNNNNNNNNNNNNNNNNNNNNNNNNNNNNNNNNNNNNNNNNNNNNNNNNNNNNNNNNNNNNNNNNNNNNNNNNNNNNNNNNNNNNNNNNNNNNNNNNNNNNNNNNNNNNNNNNNNNNNNNNNNNNNNNNNNNNNNNNNNNNNNNNNNNNNNNNNNNNNNNNNNNNNNNNNNNNNNNNNNNNNNNNNNNNNNNNNNNNNNNNNNNNNNNNNNNNNNNNNNNNNNNNNNNNNNNNNNNNNNNNNNNNNNNNNNNNNNNNNNNNNNNNNNNNNNNNNNNNNNNNNNNNNNNNNNNNNNNNNNNNNNNNNNNNNNNNNNNNNNNNNNNNNNNNNNNNNNNNNNNNNNNNNNNNNNNNNNNNNNNNNNNNNNNNNNNNNNNNNNNNNNNNNNNNNNNNNNNNNNNNNNNNNNNNNNNNNNNNGAUGCUCCCAUCCUUAUCACAUCAUUGGUUAGUCGAUUUGCUAGACUUACUGCACUUUGAAUGGUAGUUGGGUUUGCUGAGGUAACCAUUCCCCGAAUCUCUGGUGCCAGACCCCAGAUGUAACGAUCUAUCCGUUUCUCCUCAGGAGUAACCAUGUGAGGUACCAGUUUUGCUAGUUCAUGAAAUCGGACUGUGUACUUCUCUAUUUGUGUUCCAACCAUAGAAUGGUUCCAGAAUUCAGAUUCAAGUUUCUGAAGUUCAUCCUUGGGACAAUACUCCUCUAUCAGCAGCUUCUUUAGGUCUUCCCAAGUUAGCUGAUAUGCCGCUGUACGGCCUCGGGUUUGCACUAGAGUAUUCCACCAGGUUAAUGCCCUAUCUUGGAAUAGGCAAGAUGCAUACUCAACUUUGUUGCGCUCGAGGCAUUUGCUAAUGUGAAGGACCGACUCCAUGCUGUCAAUCCAUUUCAGUAACCCGACCGCACCUUCCUUUCCAUGGAACUCCUUAGGUUUACAGGCCAUAAAGGACUUGUAGUUACAUUCUCUUUCAUUGUUUCCCCGGUUUCCUCCACUACUUCCUUGGUUAGCAUUAAGUCCUGCAGUUACCUGAGUAACAAUGUUUGGAAUUGCUUCCAAGAGCUGUUGUGCUACAACUUGAGCAACAUCGGGUGUUUCGUUCUGUGGGCGCCCGCGACUAGGCCUGCCUGACAUGGUUCUAUGACACAGGAGAAGAAAUACGUAUAAAUACAUAAAAUAAUGUAUAAUAUUUAGUUCACUACUAUUUUGAAAACCGCAAGUGUUGUCAAAUCAUUGGUUUGCAUUAAUACUAGGCAUAUAGAUUUUAGAAAGAAAAGAAAAGAAAAUCUUUUUAUUCAACCAUUUACUAAAUAAAUUCUAGGGUUUGACCUCAUAGUAAAAGUUUUCAAACAUAAGAUAAAAUUCUUCAUUACCAUUUGAAAUAACUUUAAAAACAAACCAAUACAUCAAUCCCAAAAUAAAGUUUUAAAAUGUUUUUCCCAAAAGACACCCAACAUGGGUUUUCAUUUCAUAACAAAAUAAAAUAAAAUACUGAAAUCAGAACCAAAAGCCAAUCGCUAUCCCAACAAGAAGCAUCAACACCACAAUUAGGAACAGCCCACCAAACACAUAAUAUGCUGUCAUCGCAUGACUGCCUCUCGUCUAGCAGCACUAGCAGUGUUAGCAGUCUCCAUCGAAUGCUGAUACAGGAUUUCCAUCCCUGUCAUCACUUUGUUCAAUACCUCCUGUUGCCCGGCUAUUACAACAAGGCUGUGGUGCAGAUCUGCUGCUAUCAAAUACAUCCUCCGGGACUCCUCCGGGGUCAUACCUGGCUGCCUAACAGGUAUUCCUAUAACUUGCUGUGGUGGCGGUGCUCUCGGUCCUGCAACGCUGGGUCCUGCUCCGCUAGGUCCUNCAUUAGCCUUCCUCUUUUAGUCUUAUUCUCUUCUAUAGCACAUAGUGCCUCAACAUCCCAUUCAUCGUCUACUUCCUUUUUGGAAGUUACUACAUUGCUUUCCACAGACUUUUUCUUUGACCAGCAAUCCUUGGACAUGUGGCCCCACUUUCCACAAUUGUUGCAGUUGCCUUCGAACCUCCUCCCCCGAGAACUCUUAUUUGUCGGUCUUUUGAGAUCUCCAUGGUUGUGAGGUUCCUGGCUGACUCUUCCCUUUGUCAGCAUUUUUGUAUCCUUCUUUAGAAGGUGGCUUGAAAUUCCUCCGAAUUUUGCUUGUGUAGAGUGCUUCCUCUUCACUCUUUAGCGUGAUGCCUCCUAUUUGCUUAGCCAUAGCUUCUUGGCUGGCCAACAAAUUCUCAAACUCUACAAGUGAUGGUUGAACGGGCCAUCCUUGUACAGCAGUAAUGAAGCUUAUAUAUUAUGGCCUCAGUCCAUGGAUGAUGAUCCUUUUCAUUCGAGCUUCUGCAAUGACAGAUUGCGGAUCUAUUUCAGUAAUCUCCCGACAUAUCGACUUGACCUUGUGGAAAUAUUGAGCAAUCGUCAUGUCACGUUGUGAGAUUGAUAAUAGCUCGUUCUCCAAAAGUUGUAGUCUCGUAUCAUUCUUCUUUGAGAAAAGCAUCAGAAACGUGUCCCAAGCUUCUUUCGGGGUGUUCUCAUCCCGAAUAUGCUCCAACAUCUCUUCUUCGAUUGUCGUCUUCAAGGAAAACAUUGCUUUGCCAGCUUUGAUUUUCCAUUUACGCAAAGCACCAUUAACGUCUUCCUCUGGUGGCGUAGUUUCGCUUCCACCAACGACCUCCCAUAGAUCUUGUCCUUGUAUGUAGGACUUCAUACAUGUUUCCCACGUUUUGUAGUUGUUGUUGUUGAGUUUCUUGAUUCCUCCGACGACUUGGAGAUCACCCAUCGUGUUAGCAGUACCUCGGUAAUACCAAACAAGCUAGUUUCGAAACUAAACUUGAAGAGUCACAAACUACUCACGAUACAACGAGAAUUACUCGUUCUCACUAUCAAGAAACCUUGCUCUGAUACCAGAUUGUUGAACACGACUCUUUUUUAUGGGAAACAACAAGACUUUUAUUAAGACACUUAAGGAGAUUUUACACUUUGAGAGACUACUACACUUUUCUUACUUGGAGGCUUUUCUUGGAUAUUUAGAUGUUGGAUGGUUUGGAGCAAAUGAGCUCCACACCUAUUUAUAGGUGUUUCCACCUCCUUAUAGGAAGUUUAUAGAUCUACAUACAUUCAUGACUAUUCUAGAACUAUCUACCAUAUUCUAUAUCAAUUACAAGGUUUUAUAUGUUUCUAGAAUGUGCUAUAAUGUCCUAGAUAAGUAUACACAUUCUUGUGCCUUCCAUAGUGUUCUAGAAUGUUCAAUAGCCUUCCAGGGUCUUCCAUCUCGUUCUAGAGUAUUCUAUAAUCUUCUGGCAUCUUCUAGACUCCUCCAUAGUAUUCCAUAAUGUUCUAGAAUCUUCCAGAUCACUCUAGAGCAUGCUAACUUCUUUCUAGACAAUAACAUGAUUCUAUUAGGCUAGUGAUGACUUUCAACACUCCCCCUCAACACUAGCCCUUAUUCGUUGUACCAUGUUGAGCUGAUAAUUAAAGCCCUCAUAUUUUUCAGUACUUAACCCUUUGUGAACUCCAUUUGCUACUUAGUCAUUAGUCUUGAUAUGUUUCAUAUUGACUUCUUCCUUGAGAACUUUUUCUCUUCCACAUGCUUUGUUUUUCCUCAGCUGCUGCAGUAGUUGCUUCGUAUAUUGUUUUCGUAGUUGACGAUGACAUUCGUGGUUGCCUCUUGUCCCACCAUAAUAUUAUUCCUGACCCCGUUGAACUCUCUUGUAUAGCUUCUUACACCUCCCUUUGGUAAACUUGUAAGCAUGUGGGUUGUCCCUUUUACAAGAUUUGGAAAAUUUCCGUAAUAUUAACAUGUUAUGAUGUAAUCCGUUAUUGAUAUGCUCAUCUCGUUUAGAGGUUGCCCCAUUGAGAUAUUCUACUUUGCUCUUACGAAUUAAUGUGUUUUUCUUCUUUUUCGCCUUAUCAAGUUUCUCUAUCACAUGUUCCAUUUUUCGUCUAAGAUGCGACUUUUUAUGCAACUCUGGUGACGUCAUGUUCUUAUUCUCCUUUGGAAUGUCCAUCUUCAAGGGAAUAACUUCCUCCUUCAAGGUUGUCAUAAACUCUGUCUCGCUCUUCUUGAGACCUUUGUUGAGUUUCAUAGUUGAUAGCAUUCGGGAUCCAAUCAUAUUUCUCUUCAAGGGUACAAUGUGAAUUAUUGAACCCUUGGUGAUACGCAUGGUAUCAUCUCUCUCAAACGACCAGGGUCGUACAUUGUCUAGAAAAUACAUUCCCAAUACCAUACGAUAGUCAUGCAUAUGCACCACUGUCAAGUCUAUGGUGCCUUCCCAUUCUGCUAUCUUAAGAGGUACUCCAUAUGCAACACCAAUGAUAGGCUUGGAUAAAGAGUUGACGACUUUCAACCGCCCUGGAUUUUUUGUGUAUUUGAUGCCCAACUUCUUAGCUUCAUCUUUAGCAAGCAAAUUAUGGGAUGCACCUGUAUCUACUAAAGCCUUGGUGUAUCCUCCAUUUACCCUGGCAUCCACGAACAUUAGCCUUCCUCUUUUAGUCUUAUUCUCUUCUAUAGCACAUAGUGCCUCAACAUCCCAUUCAUCGUCUACUUCCUUUUUGGAAGUUACUACAUUGCUUUCCACAGACUUUUUCUUUGACCAGCAAUCCUUGGACAUGUGGCCCCACUUUCCACAAUUGUUGCAGUUGCCUUCGAACCUCCUCCCCCGAGAACUCUUAUUUGUCGGUCUUUUGAGAUCUCCAUGGUUGUGAGGUUCCUGGCUGACUCUUCCCUUUGUCAGCAUUUUUGUAUCCUUCUUUAGAAGGUGGCUUGAAAUUCCUCCGAAUUUUGCUUGUGUAGAGUGCUUCCUCUUCACUCUUUAGCGUGAUGCCUCCUAUUUGCUUAGCCAUAGCUUCUUGGCUGGCCAACAAAUUCUCAAACUCUACAAGUGAUGGUUGAACGGGCCAUCCUUGUACAGCAGUAAUGAAGCUUAUAUAUUAUGGCCUCAGUCCAUGGAUGAUGAUCCUUUUCAUUCGAGCUUCUGCAAUGACAGAUUGCGGAUCUAUUUCAGUAAUCUCCCGACAUAUCGACUUGACCUUGUGGAAAUAUUGAGCAAUCGUCAUGUCACGUUGUGAGAUUGAUAAUAGCUCGUUCUCCAAAAGUUGUAGUCUCGUAUCAUUCUUCUUUGAGAAAAGCAUCAGAAACGUGUCCCAAGCUUCUUUCGGGGUGUUCUCAUCCCGAAUAUGCUCCAACAUCUCUUCUUCGAUUGUCGUCUUCAAGGAAAACAUUGCUUUGCCAGCUUUGAUUUUCCAUUUACGCAAAGCACCAUUAACGUCUUCCUCUGGUGGCGUAGUUUCGCUUCCACCAACGACCUCCCAUAGAUCUUGUCCUUGUAUGUAGGACUUCAUACAUGUUUCCCACGUUUUGUAGUUGUUGUUGUUGAGUUUCUUGAUUCCUCCGACGACUUGGAGAUCACCCAUCGUGUUAGCAGUACCUCGGUAAUACCAAACAAGCUAGUUUCGAAACUAAACUUGAAGAGUCACAAACUACUCACGAUACAACGAGAAUUACUCGUUCUCACUAUCAAGAAACCUUGCUCUGAUACCAGAUUGUUGAACACGACUCUUUUUUAUGGGAAACAACAAGACUUUUAUUAAGACACUUAAGGAGAUUUUACACUUUGAGAGACUACUACACUUUUCUUACUUGGAGGCUUUUCUUGGAUAUUUAGAUGUUGGAUGGUUUGGAGCAAAUGAGCUCCACACCUAUUUAUAGGUGUUUCCACCUCCUUAUAGGAAGUUUAUAGAUCUACAUACAUUCAUGACUAUUCUAGAACUAUCUACCAUAUUCUAUAUCAAUUACAAGGUUUUAUAUGUUUCUAGAAUGUGCUAUAAUGUCCUAGAUAAGUAUACACAUUCUUGUGCCUUCCAUAGUGUUCUAGAAUGUUCAAUAGCCUUCCAGGGUCUUCCAUCUCGUUCUAGAGUAUUCUAUAAUCUUCUGGCAUCUUCUAGACUCCUCCAUAGUAUUCCAUAAUGUUCUAGAAUCUUCCAGAUCACUCUAGAGCAUGCUAACUUCUUUCUAGACAAUAACAUGAUUCUAUUAGGCUAGUGAUGACUUUCAACACUCCCCCUCAACACUAGCCCUUAUUCGUUGUACCAUGUUGAGCUGAUAAUUAAAGCCCUCAUAUUUUUCAGUACUUAACCCUUUGUGAACUCCAUUUGCUACUUAGUCAUUAGUCUUGAUAUGUUUCAUAUUGACUUCUUCCUUGAGAACUUUUUCUCUUCCACAUGCUUUGUUUUUCCUCAGCUGCUGCAGCCGUUGCUCCGUAUAUUGUUUCCGUAGUUGACGACGACAUUCGUGGUUGCCUCUUGUCGUACCAUAAUAUUGUUCCUGACCCCGUUGAACUCUCUUGUAUAGUUUCUUACGCCUCCCUUUGGUAAACUUGUAAGCAUGUGGGUUGUCCCUUUUACAAGAUUUGGAAAAUUUCCGUAAUAUUAACAUGUUAUGAUGUAAUCCCUUAUUGAUCUGCUCAUCUCUUUUAGAGGUUGCCCGGUUGAGAUAUUCUACUUUUCUCUUACGAAUUAAUGUGUUUUUCUUCUUUUUCGCCUUAUCAAGUUUCUCCAUCACAUGUUCCAUUUUUCGUCUAAGAUGCGACUUUUUAUGCAACUCUGGUGAUGUCAUGUUCUUAUUCUCCUUUGGAAUGUCCAUCUUCAAGGGAAUAACUUCCUCCUUCAAGGUUGUCAUAAACUCUGUCUCACUCUUCUUGAGACCUUUGUCGAGUUGCAUAGUUGAUAGCAUUUGGGAUCCAAUCAUAUUUCUCUUCAAGGGUACAAUGUGAAUUAUUGAACCCUUGGUGAUACGCAUGGUAUCAUCUCUCUCAAAUGACCAGAGUCGUACAUUUUCUAAAAAAUCCAUUCCUAAUACCAUACGAUAGUCAUCCAUAUGCACCACUGUUAAGUCUAUGGUGCCUUCCCAUUCUGCUAUCUUAAGAGGUACUCCAUAUGCAACACCAAUGAUAGGCUUGGAUAAAGAGUUGACGACUUUCAACCGGCCUGGUAUUUUGAUGUAUUUGAUGCCCAACUUCUUAGCUUCAUCUUCAACAAGGAAAUUAUGGGAUGCACCUGUAUCUACUAAAGCCUUGGUGUAUCCUCCAUUUACCCUGGCAUCCACGAACAUUAGCCUUCCUCUUUUAGUCUUAUUCUCUUCUAUAGCACAUAGUGCCUCAGCAUCCCAUUCAUCCUCUACUUCCUUUUUGGAAGUUACUACAUUGCUUUCCACAUACUUUUUCUUUGACCAACAAUCCUUGGACAUGUGGCCCCACUUUCCACAGUUGUUGCAGUUGCCUUCGAACCUCCUCCCCCGAGAACUCUUAUUGUCGGUCUUUUGAGAUCUCCAUGGUUGUGAGGUUCCUGGUUGACUCUUCCCUUUGUCAGCAUUUUUGUAUCCUUCUUUAGAAGGUGGCUUAAAAUUCCUCCGACUUUUACUUGUGUAGAGUGCUUCUUCUUCACUCUUCAGCGUGAUGCCUCCCAUUUGCUUAGCCAUAGCUUCUUGGCUGGCCAGCAAAUUCUCAAACUCUACAAGUGAUGGUUGAACGGGCCAUCCUUGUACAGCAGUAAUGAAGCUUCUAUAUUCUGGCCUCAGUCCAUGGAUGAUGAUCCUUUUCAUUCGAGCUUCUGCAAUGACAGAUUGCGGAUCUAGUUCAGUAAUCUCCCGACAUAUCGACUUGACCUUGUGGAAAUAUUGAGCAAUCGUCAUGUCACGUUGUGAGAUUGAUAAUAGCUCGUUCUCCAAAAGUUGUAGUCUCGUAUCAUUCUUCUUUGAGAAAAGCGUCACAAACGUAUCCCAAGCUUCUUUCGGGGUGUUCUCAUCCCGAAUAUGCUCCAACAUCUCUUCUUCGAUUGUGGUCUUCAAGGCAAACAUUGCUUUGCCUGCUUUGAUUUUCCAUUUACGUAAAGCACCAUUAACGUCUUCCUCUGGUGGCGUAGUUUCGCUUCCACCAACGACCUCCCAUAGAUCUUGUCCUUGUAAGUAGGACUUCAUACAUGUUUCCCACGUUUUGUAGUUGUUGUUGUUGAGUUUCUUGAUUCCUCCGACGACUUGGAGAUCACCCAUCGUGUUGGCAGUACCUCGGUAAUACCAAACAAGCUAGUUUCGAUACUAAACUUGCAGAGUCACAAACUACUCACGAUACAACGAGAAUCACUCGUUCUCACUAUCAAGAAACCUUGCUCUGAUACCAGAUUGUUGAACACGACUCUUUUAUAUGGGAAACAACAAGACUUUUAUUAAGACACUUAAGGAGAACUUACACUUUGUGAGACUACUACACACUUUGCUUUCUUUGAGGCUUUCUUGGAUGNUUUGUGUAGCCCAUUCAGUGAGGUUUUAAGCCACGAAAUUUCAACCAUCAUUCACUAGAUAUGUUAAGUUUCUAAGGUAUUUUUCCUCAGAUUUAUGGUUGGGUUUAAGGCCAUUGAUUAUGCAAGACAAAAAUAGUGAUCACAGAAAAAGAGCUGUAUGCGCAAUCUUUUUGUAAAAAUUGCCAAAAAUCGGAUAUUUAAUAUUUUACAGUAAGACCAGUUGGGUUUGAAAGUUAACUCGUGGAACUAACCAAUACAAAAAGAAUAUCAUGAUUUGGUUAAGAAAUGACUGAGUUAUGACCGUUCAAAGUCGAACAAAGUAAUCUGGCAGAUUGCAUGUUUGCUUGUGUGCAUUAUUAGGGUAUUUCAACAAGAACAUCAUGCAUGUCUUUGGUAAGGCCCGAUUUCUAACACAUGCAUGGAAUGAAUGAGCAUCCAAGAUGUACUAGAAAUGGUUUAAAUGCUUUUGGUCAUGCAUGAACACAAAAGAAAUGGAGAAGAACAUGAAAUAUUAUGUUUUGAUGUCACAUGAUCAUAUGUGCAUCUUUUUCACUCCUUGCAUGGGUUUGAUCCCGGAUUUUCACCAUCUCUUACACAUGCAUUGUGUUAUGGUGAGAAUCUACAAACCACAAGGGAAAAUAUAAAGAUUUCUAGCCAUGGAAUGGCAUAGAAUCCGAAAAGAAGAGAGAACUAAGAAAGAAAAGGAGUAGAAUCAUGUAACUAUGGAAGAAGAUGGUGUUGUUUACCUUUGUUAUGAUCUUGAGGGAAGUAAGAACACUUCAAGGGCUUCACAAUCUCGAAAUUUUGCAGAGAAAUGAGAGGAUUUUCGUGAGUUUAGAGAGAGGGAAGAAGAGAGUGAAGUGUGUGAAGAGUGGAGUGUAAGAGAGUGGAGAAAGAAGAGGUGGAGUGAGGGUUUUGACUUAAUGAUUGAAGUUUUUGGGAAGAGGGAGCAUGGGGAGGGGAGAAUGGCCAGAUUUUUGAGUGGAUUAGGGCCUUCUCUCUCCUCAAUUCAAAUUUUAUAAAAAUCCCUCCUUAAUUUUUAUAAAAAUCUAAUUUUUAUAAAAGUGAUUAUUAAGCAAAUUUGGAUUUAUUUAAAAUCUUGUUUUCAACAAAUGAAUUAUGAUUAAUACUUGGUAAUUUAGUUUCUAUUUCAUUGACUAUAAUUCUUAAUUUCAUUAAUAACAAUUUGAUAUUAGGAAGUUUAUAGCCAAAUUUUAUAAAGUUUUUAAGCUUUAUAAUUUAUAACUUUGGAUUUUUGGCUCUUUAGGGUUUUUGGAAUAUUGUUUGAUAUUCACAACAUGUUGAAGUAUAAUUAGAAUGUUUUAAUUUAUUUUUAGGGUUUUAUACCCUAUUUCAAUUAUAACAAAGCUUGAAGCUUUAUUCUAAUUAUAGUAUUGGCAUUUCCUAUUGUAGCUAAGCAACUUACUAGAAUUGUAAGUAUCAAGUAUAUUAGUCCUAGACCUUAGUUGGAUCCUAGUUUAUGCAUGAUUUUUGACCUAAUUUAUACUACUAGGCCAUGGCAUGAUGUGCAUGAGUGGUUUUUAUAAAGAUGCAUGAGUCCAAGAAUGACCUGAAUUUGACAGUUGUCACAAUCUUCCUGACACGAUCGUCUGACAUUGCUGGCCUAUCCUGGAUUAUUCUCCCGAUCCUAACCUGGAUCCGAUCACAAGACGUCUUGUGACCACCAUUCUGUCAAUACACCAAAAGAUCUCUGAUAACCUAUAUAAUGAUAGGGAAACAACUCCAAAACCCAACCCUAGGGGUUGUGACUUGCUUGCUACGCGUAUGGGUCCUGUGCUUUCAGUAGUACGGGCCCAUACUACCUUCCGCACCUACCCAUAAUUGUCUCAAGUAUCAUCACAACGCCCCAACAAUAUACAUAAAUAUAGCGAGUGCUUAAAUCCUCACUCCUAGAGGAAUGCUAAACAUCUCAUAACNAACGGCCCCCCCCCCCUCUCCCCACCCCCCCAAUCCAUGAAACUUCCACCAACCCUGUAGCAUUAGUGUAUACUAGCCACACAUAACGCUGGACCCGAUAGACUUUCGAUAUCCAAUUCUACCCUAAGGUCGAAUCAAACAUUCUCAGGCUAUAAGAUAUUGAUUAUGCACAGCCGUGAUGCAUACACUAAACAGCUACAGUAAGGAUGUCAAUCUUAUAUAAGGAAAACCCUAGGCUAAUAGGCAUCAUGAAAUCAUGCAAUUCUAUCAUGCAAUUCCUAAAGAUCCCUAGCCUAGUACUAGCAUGUUGUUCUAACAUAUCUCAAUAUCAAAUAACAGUAUGGUAUUUUGGGGUCUACUUACUGGCUCCAGCUGAUCGUACACUUCACAUCCUCUUUUACUUAUUUUGAAAACCAUUUUAGAAUUCAUUUUGAAAACCUUUCCUUGAUUUGAGACUGGAGUCACGCGAAUGUUUCUCCAAUUCACUCAAACCAAGGCUAUGAUACCAACUUGUAACACGCAUAAAAUUCAAGCCAAUUUAAAACAUUUUAACCCAUUCAAAAAAAAUUAAGUUAUACAACUUGUUUUCAAAAUAGUUUAAACAUCAUAGUAUCCCCAAAACCAAAUCACAAAAUCAUGAAAUAUGAGGAGGGGUAAGAUCACGCCUUUGCCUUGACACGAUCUCAUGAUGUUCCAGAAACAAUAAACUUAAACUGUAAGCCCGGAAGCUUAGUGAGUUUCCCCCAAAAUAACAACCACAUACAACCAUAAUAAUAUCAUAUCACAAUAUAGAACGGCCAUGCCUCUUAAGUUUGCAGUGUGACUGGUCCGCCCACAACUGGCCUUCAGUCCACCUGGUCCACUCUUUGAGUCCACAUUAUGACUGGACCUCCCGCACCGGCCUUCAGUCUAUCUGGAUAUAUCCUGAGCCUUUGGUAUGACUGGACCGCCAUACAGGCCUACAAUCUAUCCAGACCGCUCGUAGGGUAUGUUGGCCUUCAGCACAAGCAGUACCGCCUUAACCCAAACUUCAAGCAAAUAACCAUGUGCACAUAUAACAGGUAUUCACAUAACAGUCCAUAGACAAACAAAUCGAUCUAGCAGAUCAUAAAGCAUAGCAACAUCCUAACUAGGAUACCGACCUAACCGGUCACUAACAUAGCAUCAUCCUAUAUACCAGAAUACUGACUUAAACCAGGUCACUAACAUAAUAUUGUCCUAAUUACCAGGACGCUGAUCUAAUCAGAUCAAUAAACACAUCAAACAAUACACGUACAGAUAUCAGAUAUAACUAUCUCACAGAUCAUCAAUCAUAGUAAUCUCUCAUAACCAAAACACCGACCUAACCAGGUCACUAAUAUACCAAUCCUAACGGAUCAUAAGAGCAUGACAACAUAUUGUCUAUCCGGACACCGAUCUAACAUAUCAUUACCACAUGUAGCAUACUGUAACCAAGAUAACAACUAAAAGGGUCGGCCUUGGUGCCUUAGAUCCUAUUGAUAUAGUGAGGAUAACUCACCUUGCAACUGCUGAACCGAACCAUGAAAGCACUGGCCCGAAGCACUGCUCCAAACUCCAACACCUGAUGCCAUCAAUGGACCAUGACAUAAAUAUCAAAAAUACUUAACACCCCGGAAGGUCAAACAGGUCAAAGUCAAAGUCCUUGCCAAAGUCAAACUUCCUGAUUGACUCUACUCGCUGAGUCAACCCGUCGACUCAUCGAGUUCUUAUACUCAGAAAACUCCCAUAACACGACUCAACUCGCUGAGUCGCCCCAAGACUCGUCGAGUUGAACAAUCUCUGAAUUCCAUCCUGUCCAACUCACUGAGUCACCAACCAACUCACUGGUCCGAAGUUUAAGCACAAGAGGUUGGGGUUCUGCGACCUGACUCGCCGAGUCCAAGAACAGACUCGCCGAGUCCAAGGCAAUCUUCAACAGACUCGCCGAGUUGUUCUUCCAACUCGUCGAGUCCAUGCCCAUGUUCAUAUGACUCGCUGAGUCCACCCAUGCGACUCGUCGAGUCCCUUCAGUCCUUCAUCCAUACAUAAGCUUUUCGAGCCAUGCAGGGGUUCCAAACUGUAGAUCCACUCUUCUAGGGCAUAACCCCUACGUAAAGUUGCAAACUUUACGUGAAAACGAGGAGUUAAAGGUCCAAAUCACUCUAGGGCUUGGGUUUUAGACAAAGGGGCUUCACCAACAACUCAUUGACUGAUGCUUUAUGACAUUCUGGACCAACACAAGUCUAGAUCUGAAUUAGCAACCUCAGAUCCAAACUCCAAACCCGAAAUAGAUCUCAAACAUACCCAAAGUGGCCCCAAAUCUCUUUCAUGAAUAGAUCUAGAUGCAAAAGAGUGAAGGUAAUAGCUUAUUACCUCCAAGAUGUGCCCAAAUUGAAGUAGAUUCUGGAUCUACACCACUCCCUUGAUGCAGGCCCUUUUUGACCUUCAAGAUUCUUCCACAAAAGACAACUUCCAAAGAUUCAAUCUCCCUCCAAAGGCGUCAUACACACAAGCUUAGGGUCUUCUGGUUCUCAAGGGAAAUAAGGAGGCUGAUAGAAGGAGAUAAGGUCCUUUAAAUAGGGUGCAACCCUCAAGAUUAGGGUUUUCUAAUUCCAGCACCAACUCGUCGAGCACAACUUCUGACUCGGCGAGUUGGCCACUUAACUCACGAUCAAAUCUCGCUCUGACUCGAUGAGUAGCGUACCUACUUGUCGAGUAGCUUCCUUAAUUUACACUUUAAGCCCUGCACUCAUACUUCUGGAAUUUGGGAUGUUACAACGUCCUACACUUCCUACCAUACAAUAGUUUAAAUGGAGAUCUUCCUAAUAUAGAUGUCAACUUGUUUGGCUAUAUCUUUACAAAUAACUCUGGUUAUCUCGAUCAACAUUCGAAACAUUCCCUGAAUCUCCCACAUAUUUGGUCUCUCAUCCUAAAAUUCUACUCCCUGGAGCUUUUCUAUCAACUCUAACAGAUGAGUAAACAUUGUCAUUCAUAGACACAACUCUGGAAGUGGCCAACUAGCUGACCUCUGGCUAAGAGCAUCAACAACCAAACUUACUUCAUCGGGAUAAUAAAGUAUCUCUCAUUUGAAACUCGUAACAGUGUAUAGCAACACAACCCAACUCCUUGAAAAACUCCCAUAAAGCUAGAUUUUAGGCUCCAUAACUUCCAAUACCAACCCUCUAAGGGUAACGAUCAUCCCUACUCCAUCAUGUGCCAAAUUAACUAAUCAGUUGACAAGGAACUCUACAACUCAUAAUUGAAGAAAUAUAUUGAUCAAUACUUGGUCAACAUCCCAACAGAGAAAAUAGUUUUCAAAGACACACACAUACACCCAUAC